AUUGUUGGUAGUCCGUAAAUCAUCACGUUUAACUUCCAAUCCAAUCCAAGUGCUCACACCAUUGAACCAUCUCUGCCAGAAGGUAGAUUGUCCUGCUGUUUGCGGCGAAGGUCGACAGCUUCUUCAACUCCGGUACAGCUUGGAAGCGCGGUCACUAUGGCUCACAGGAGCCAACUGAGGAUUGCGAAAGACUCUGAGACGAACGACAGACCCAACGUAACAAUUUCUACACGACGACAAAUGCAAACGAUAACGAGGCAAAGGCCGGGAAUCGAAAACGGAUCGAAUGGGUCGGGGGAACGCGAUGGCCAGGAGUUUGAAGAAAUGGUGGUGGACUCGGGAGCUUCGCCGUUGCCAGUCAGACGGAACAGAAAGCGAAAGCAAGUUGCAAGCGACCGGAGCGAUUUGAAUUUGAGACGUUCCAAACGUCUACGCAAAUCGACUAGACAGGAAGAAUUUUGGUACCCAAGGCCAUUGGACAAGGACAAGUAAUGUUUAAAUAAGUGAACUAUUAUGGUGAUUAAUGUCACCUUCGAAUUAUAAGAUGUUUGAUGUUUUCUAUUAUUUUGAGUUUCAUGCUUUCGAGCAUAAUAUUAAGUAUAGAUCCUAAGUAAGAAAAAUGAAAUGAAUGAAGUUUAACUUGAAUGAAGUUCUCUGCUUUCCAAAGGGGAAGA
Molecule: RNA transcript, 674 nt
Organism: Armigeres subalbatus
Lineage: Eukaryota; Metazoa; Arthropoda; Insecta; Diptera; Culicidae
Exons: 2
Source: RefSeq, a predicted model, not a curated record